CUCACCUGACCUCAGCCGGGGGGAAAGAGUCACACUCACAGCUCUUAUUCCUCCUGUAAAAACAGUCGAGUUCCAUGUGGGAUCGGCCAUGUCUGUGGAGGGGUUGCCUGCCCCUGCACCUGCGUGCAGAGAACAUGCCUCAUUGGCUCCUGGGUCACAACUCAAGGGGAUGGACAAGGAGGUUGUCAUACUACAUUGAACAAACUCCUCCAUGAACAGAGCAAAGACCUCCAGAAGCUCCUGCCAAUAAAAAUGGAGAUGCCCUGUUUUUUAAACUGAGCCACUAGUCUAGGUGGGAAGACCAGAACUUUAGGAAGGUCUGAGUUCAAGGAUGCUGGGUGCUGUAUUAGGACUGGGUGAAG
Long non-coding RNA from Gopherus evgoodei (Goodes thornscrub tortoise), 362 nucleotides. RefSeq lists it as uncharacterized. The record is from RefSeq and is a predicted model, not a curated record. NCBI's taxonomy places the organism in Eukaryota, Metazoa, Chordata, Testudines, Testudinidae. The transcript has 3 exons.